Molecule: unclassified non-coding RNA, 244 nt
Filed under: Glomeraceae sp.
Lineage: Eukaryota; Fungi; Glomeromycota; Glomeromycetes; Glomerales; Glomeraceae
Description: partial contains 5.8S ribosomal RNA and internal transcribed spacer 2
Rfam family: 5.8S ribosomal RNA (bases 1-65)
Source: RNAcentral
GUGAAUCAUCAAAUUUUUGAACGCAAAUUGCACUCUCCUCGGAGAGUAUGCCUGUUUGAGGGUCAGCCUAUAAAAAAUCGACAUCGUUGCUGUUUCGCGGUGGCGUUCGUCGGAAAUUGGGUUAUCUUAAAUCCUUUUGGGUUUUAGGCGACUUAAAAUUUUCUUUUUGGCUUCAUUAACGCUUCUAUGAUUUAUUUUUUUACACGUUUAAGGAAUCGAUUUUUAUUAGACGUUACUAACAUAU